GAUGAACGCUGGCGGCGUGCCUAAUACAUGCAAGUCGAACGCGCAGCGAAAGGUGCUUGCACCUUUCAAGCGAGUGGCGAACGGGUGAGUAACACGUGGAUAACCUGCCUCAAGGCUGGGGAUAACAUUUGGAAACAGAUGCUAAUACCGAGUAAAACUUAGUAUCGCAUGAUACAAAGUUAAAAGGCGCUACGGCGUCACCUAGAGAUGGAUCCGCGGUGCAUGAGUUAGUUGGUGGGGUAAAGGCUUACCAAGACGAUGAUGCAUAGCCGAGGUGAGGAACUGAUCGUCCACAAUGGGACUGAGACACGGCCCAACGGCCUACGGGGGGCUGCAGUAGGGAAUCUUCCACAAUGGGCGCAAGCAUAAUGGAGCAACGCCGCGUGUGUGAUGAAAGCGUUCGGGUCGUAACGCACUGUUGUAUGGGAAGAAAUGCUAAAAUAGGGAAUGAUUUUAGUUUGACGGUACCAUACCAGAAAGGGACGGCUAAAUACGUGCCAGCCGCCGCCGUAA
Molecule: ribosomal RNA, 513 nt
Filed under: uncultured bacterium
Lineage: Bacteria
Description: partial 16S ribosomal RNA
Rfam family: Bacterial small subunit ribosomal RNA
Source: RNAcentral